Molecule: ribosomal RNA, 460 nt
Filed under: uncultured bacterium
Lineage: Bacteria
Description: partial 16S ribosomal RNA
Rfam family: Bacterial small subunit ribosomal RNA
Source: RNAcentral
CCUACGGGUGGCAGCAGUGGGGAAUAUUGGUCAAUGGACGAGAGUCUGAACCAGCCAAGUAGCGUGAAGGAUGACUGCCCUAUGGUUUGUAAACUUUUUUUAUAUGGGAAUAAAAUGUUCCACGUGUGGGAUUUUGUAUGUACCAUAUGAAUAAGGAUCGGCUAACUACGUGCCAGCAGCCGCGGUAAUCCGGAGGAUCCGAGCGUUAUCCGGAUUUACUGGGUUUAAAGGGAGCGUAGGUGGAUUGUUAAGUCAGUUGUGAAAGUUUGCGGCUCAACCGUAAAAGUGCAGUUGAAACUGGCAGUCUUGAGUACAGUAGAGGUAGGCGGAAUUCGUGGUGUAGCGGUGAAAUGCUUAGAUAUCACGAAGAAUUCUGAUUGCGAAGGCAGCUCACUGGACUGCAACUGACACUGAGGCUCGAAAGUGUGGGUAUCAAACAGGAUUAGAUACCCUUGUAGUU